UAGAUUGAAGCCAGUUGAUUAGGGUAUUUAGCUGUUAACUAAAAUUUCGUGGGAUGAUAGCCCAUCAAUCUAG
Molecule: transfer RNA, 73 nt
Filed under: Equus kiang (kiang)
Lineage: Eukaryota; Metazoa; Chordata; Mammalia; Perissodactyla; Equidae
Description: tRNA-Asn
Source: RNAcentral